RNAcentral lists this ribosomal RNA (349 nucleotides) under uncultured bacterium. Its description in RNAcentral is "bacterial SSU rRNA". It matches the Rfam family "Bacterial small subunit ribosomal RNA", at positions 917 to 1269 of the family's 1533-position model. The record is from RNAcentral.
GGGCCCGCACAAGCGGUGGAGCAUGUGGUUUAAUUCGAUGAUACGCGAGGAACCUUACCAGGGCUUAAAUGUAAGUUGCAUAGAUCAGAGAUGGUCUUUUCUUCGGACUACUUACAAGGUGCUGCAUGGUUGUCGUCAGCUCGUGCCGUGAGGUGUCAGGUUAAGUCCUAUAACGAGCGCAACCCCUGUCGUUAGUUACCAGCAAGUAAUGUUGGGUACUCUAGCGAGACUGCCGGUCAAACCGUGAGGAAGGUGGGGAUGACGUCAAAUCAUCACGGCCCUUACGUCCUGGCCACACACGUGCUACAUUGGGUAGAACAAUAAGUUGCUAAGUUCGCGAAAGCAAGCG